Molecule: ribosomal RNA, 301 nt
Filed under: uncultured bacterium
Lineage: Bacteria
Description: partial 16S ribosomal RNA
Rfam family: Bacterial small subunit ribosomal RNA
Source: RNAcentral
CAGUCGCCGCGGUAAUACGUAGGGUGCAAGCGUUAAUCGGAAUUACUGGGCGUAAAGCGUGCGCAGGCGGUUUGUUAAGACAGAUGUGAAAUCCCCGGGCUCAACCUGGGAACUGCAUUUGUGACUGGCAAGCUAGAGUAUGGCAGAGGGGGGUGGAAUUCCGCGUGUAGCAGUGAAAUGCGUAGAGAUCGGGAGGAACAUCAGUGGCGAAGGCGGCCAUCUGGGACAACACUGACGCUGAGGCACGAAAGCGUGGGGAGCAAACAGGAUUAGAUACCCGCGUAGUCCCUGUCUCUUAUAA